This 329-nucleotide unclassified non-coding RNA is filed under the name plant metagenome. Its description in RNAcentral is "partial contains 5.8S ribosomal RNA, internal transcribed spacer 2, and large subunit ribosomal RNA". The stretch from base 1 to 105 matches the Rfam family "5.8S ribosomal RNA", at positions 50 to 154 of the family's 154-position model. The record is from RNAcentral.
GAAAUGCGAUAAGUAAUGUGAAUUGCAGAAUUCCGUGAAUCAUCGAAUCUUUGAACGCACAUUGCGCCCUCUGGUAUUCCGGGGGGCAUGCCUGUCCGAGCGUCAUUGCGAACCCCUAAAGCACGGCUUGUGUGAUGGGCCCUCCCGCGUCUUGGUCGUCAAGACGGGCCCGAAAUGCAGUGGCGGCUUCGCGGUUAUCCGAUCAGCCAGAGCGUAUGGGGACUUUCUCUCUGUCACACGCCCGCGGCGCGGACCGACGCCUGUCGACCUUCAUUCAUCGUUUUCUCGGUUGACCUCGGAUCAGGUAGGGAUACCCGCUGAACUUAAGC